GACGAACGCUGGCGGCGUGCCUAAUACAUGCAAGUAGAACGCUGAAGAGAGGAGCUUACUCUUCUUGGAUGAGUUGCGAACGGGUGAGUAACGCGUAGGUAACCUGCCUUGUAGCGGGGGAUAACUAUUGGAAACGAUAGCUAAUACCGCAUAACAAUGGCUGACACAUGUCAUUUAUUUGAAAGGGGCAAUUGCUCCACUACAAGAUGGAACUGCGUUGUAUUAGCUAGUAGGUGAGGUAAUGGCUCACCUAGGCGACGAUACAUAGCCGACCUGAGAGGGGUAUCGGCCACACUGGGACUGAGACACGGCCCAGACUCCUACGGGAGGCAGCAGGAGGGAAUCUUCGGCAAUAGGGGCAACCCUGACCGAGCAACGCCGCGUGAGUGAAGAAGGUUGUCGGAUCGUAAAGCUCUGUUGUAAGUCAAGAAAGGGUGUGAGAGUGGAAAGUUCACACUGUGACGGUAGCUUACCAGAAAGGGACGGCUAACUACGUG
Molecule: ribosomal RNA, 497 nt
Filed under: uncultured bacterium
Lineage: Bacteria
Description: partial 16S ribosomal RNA
Rfam family: Bacterial small subunit ribosomal RNA
Source: RNAcentral